GGGGGCGACGAGGUUUCGACGGGGGAAGCGGUGGCGAGAGGAGCGAGCCGGGGUCGUCACCAGCCCGCAAUACGGUGGCAAAACAAUAAACGCCAACAAGACCGAACUCGCUCUGGCUGCUUAAUUCAGCCAGCAUCCUAACGGUUCUCGCCUGCGGAACCGGCUAGGGUGUCAAACUAGCAGGCUUGCCGGCCGGCCCUUCCCGGGGGCCGGGCCGGGACACACACCGGGAUAGCUUGCGGGCAGCCCGGCUGCGGGCGGCGCGCAAGCGAAAGCCAGUACGCAGCCUGCGCUCGGAGAGCCUCUUGCGGUCGUUCCUUCGGACAGGGGUUCGACUCCCCUCGCCUCCACCA
Molecule: transfer-messenger RNA, 353 nt
Filed under: Peptococcaceae bacterium
Lineage: Bacteria; Bacillati; Bacillota; Clostridia; Eubacteriales; Peptococcaceae
Also listed under: 1 other name
Rfam family: transfer-messenger RNA
About the family: Bacterial tmRNA, also known as 10Sa RNA or SsrA, is named for its dual tRNA and mRNA-like properties. Its role is to liberate the mRNA from a stalled ribosome.
Source: RNAcentral